GCUUACUAGGAACCACUCAUCACUUCUCCGGUUAUCCACCACCGUCAGAUCAUCCAUCCACAGCUUAUCUUCUAUGAACGAGAUCGCACCUGAUGAAGAAAUAUAUAACCUUGAAGAACGGAAACUUCACUGCAAGCCCGUUUCACCUCUGGUUCGGUCCGGUUCAGUGCGUCUAACUCCAAUACUUGCCAUAUUGUUCCUCUAUGUAUGCACCCUUUUCGCCUUCUUCAACACGGACGACAUAGCCACCUCGGAAAAUCUGCUUUUAGGGCUUAUUUUAGUUGCGGUUUUACUUUUCUUCGCGUCGAAAAAUAAGUCAAGAAUCCAACAAAGUUUCAGUUUUUGUAAGGAACUGUGUUAUGAGUAUGGAAAAAAAGUUGGGUUCCUCUGUUUGACCUCUAAGAACGAUGAAAAAUCUGUGAAAUGGUUCAUCGGUGAAUCGAACUUCGAUUAUAAAGAGAAUGCUAAGAAUAUUAUAAGAGAAGGAGUGGAAUUUUACAGCAAUGGGGAUUACUAUGAAGGUGAGUUUCACCAAGGUAAAUGCAAUGGGAGUGGAGUGUACAAUUACUUCACGAAUGGGAGAUACGAGGGCGACUGGAUUGGUGGGAAGUACGAUGGAUAUGGAGUUGAGAGUUGGUCGAGGGGAAGUCGAUAUCGGGGGCAGUAUAGGCAGGGAUUGAGGCAUGGCUAUGGAGUUUAUAAGUUUUACACUGGGGAUACAUAUGCAGGGGAGUGGUGUAAUGGGCAGAGUCAUGGAAUGGGAGUGCAAUCUUGUGCUGAUGGGAGUUGUUAUAUUGGAGAGUUCAAAUGUGGGGUGAAACAUGGCCUUGGUUCUUACCAUUUUAGGUGAGAAUUGAUGUUCUUUUAUGCUUGUCUCAAUCUGUUUAAUUGAUUUUUAUUUUUUUUUCGAAAUUUUUGAGUUAAUACGUGAAUCUUGUUGGUGUCCGGAGCAUAAUUGGAGUGUAGGUAGCUGAAAUUUUGCAGCUAUAAGUGAAUGAAGCUCUCGAGCGAUGAGGAUUGAUGCUCUUUGAUGCUUGUUUCUAUUUGUUAAAUUUUUUAUUUCACUUUAGUCUUUUUUUUUUUCUUUUUCUUUUGAUUUAAAUUUUGAGUUGUAUAUGUGAAUCUCAGAUGUUGUGUGGAGUGUAAUCGUACCGUUGGUAGCUGGAAAAUUUGCAGCGAUAGGUGGACAAAGCUCUCAAGCAAUAAGAAUUUGAUGUUUUCUGAUGCUUGUUUCUAUCUGUUUGAUUCUGUUUUACUCUAUUUUUCUGUUAUUUUCGAGUCGAUAUGUGAAUCUUGUUGGACUGUGUGGAGUCUAAUGUAGAUAGCUGAAAACUUUGCAACGAUAAGUGGAUGACCCUCUCACAUCUAGGGUGAACCACCAUUAAUUCGUAUGGGCUUUCUUCGUUUUAUAAUGGAGUUAAGUUCAAAAUUAAUCAAUGGCAAAUCUUGAUCGUACAUGUGAUUGGUUCUAUGUUUGAUCUGAUAAAAUUUUGUUGGUGUUUCUUAAUAAUGUUGUUUGAGAUGACACAGUUUGGUUACAAAUUUUGUGGGGGAGGAUUCUAGUUUGUAGUAAUCGGAUUAUAUCUUAUGUUGUUUUGGAUUUUGUAUGAGAUUAGUUGCCUGAAAGUUUUCGAGUUCAUGUAUUCUAUUUGUUGAGUUUUUUGGCUUCUUGAUAGAUGGAACAAUAGAUGGUUCUGAUUAUUUUGAUGAUUUAGAAUCACAAGUUAUUGAAGGAACUUGAGAAUAAAUAUGAAAUUUGAUUGUCUUGUAGAAAUGGAGAUAGAUAUGCUGGUGAAUAUUUUGGAGAUAAAGUCCAUGGUUUUGGCGUCUAUCACUUCUCGAAUGGUCACUGUUAUGAGGGAUCAUGGCAUGAAGGACGAAAACAAGGUUAUGGCAUGUAUACUUUCCGAAGUGGUGAGACGAGAUGUGGCGAAUGGGAUGGUGGUAAACUUAAGGCGUCCCUUCUUCCGCUAACUGAUUCAGUUCUGCGAGCUGUUCAGGUAACAAUGUUACUCCUCUCUCAAAGCACAAUAAGGUUACUUUUCUAGAAAAUAAGUUUGAAUAAAAUCUAGAUGGACUAACUUCUAAGCACAACCAAACAUGCUCGUAUGUUCACUCUUAACUCUCGUUUUCUCUUGUAUUGUCCAGGCUGCUAGAAAAUCUGCGGGAAAUGCAAUAAAACUCUGCAUGGUUGAUGAACAAGUGAACAAGGCUGUUAUGGCAUCAAACCGAGCUGCUACUGCCGCCAGAGUUGCUGCUGUUAAAGCUGUUCAGAACAGGAUCGAUGGAAAAUUCUGCGAUACUGAUGUUUAAGUAUUGUCCAUAAAUUUAAAUCUUCUAAGUUGUUCUUGCGUAGAAGGUAUAUGAGCACCCCGAUAAGCAAAAACUCGUCGGAGGUUGAGUGUAUGUCGUGGUUUUGUUUCAACUAAGUAAUCUGUACAUGUUUCAAUCAUAAUUUCAAUGGGAAGCAUUUUUUAUUUAAAUGCCAUUAAAAUUGCGGUCCAUGAAAUGCACUGAAGAUAAUAGAUAGAUAUAAAAAAAUGCAGGAUUACGGGUUGAGCUGACCCACAGCCAUUGAAAAUAGUUCGAGGGAGUAGUAUGAUUUUGAGUUCAGACCUUCAACCUCCCAUUAACCUGUCUUGAAUUAAAAAUAAUGUAUAUGACUGAGACUAAGCAAGAAAUUGGUGCAUAAAAUAUAUGGAAAACUAGAAAUAUUGGUUCCUAAUAAAAGGUAUCUUGUUUUCGUUCAAGAGGUGAGACGAGUUACAACAAAGUGAGAAUCUGUCGAAUAGUUCACACCAAAUCCUCACGAAGGUUGAAAGUUGGUCAAGCAAAGAUUUAACAAAUCAAUGAUGCUUUGCUGCUUUAUUAGUUGGCUUCAUAGCUUGCUUCUUCCAACUGUUUACGUGGUUUAUUCUUUUUCCUUGACUUACUUAGUUCACAUCUCAAUUUUGUUAAGGAUUCUGGACCUUCUUCUUCACCUGGUCAAAGAGAAAGAAUCCUUCAACUCUAUGAUCACAUUUAUAGAAAUUUGGAGUAGUCUAUUGUCCUAUUGUAUAAUAAAAGGAGUAAGUAAUUCGAUUUGACUGAACUUUCAAACCAAAUCAUUUUAAAUGGUUUGAAAAAACCUCAAACCUAAAUCAAACCAUUCGACACAGUUUAAGAUUUUCUCAAACAUAUACCUAAUGAUUUAUACCGCGAUUAUUUUUCUUCAUGUUCACUUUGUCACUACUAAUUCAAUUAUUACAAAAUACUUUCAUACUUUAUUAAAAAAAAAAUAUAUAUAUAUAUAUAUAUAUAUAUAGUGAGAGCAUUUGAUGUGAUGUUUUAAAGUUUUUUGUACUAUUUUUUCAUCUAGUCAAAUCAAUUUUUAAUGAAGGACAUUUAGGAUAUUUGAAUUAUUUAGAUGGGCAAAAAUGUCCAAAAAUUUUCAAAAUUGACAAUAUUGCAAAGACCUAAAAAAGGUGACAUUUUUGUAAAUGUAAAGUCAAAAAUUGACUAUUUCGAUAAUUUCCACAUAAAAAAAUAAAAGGUGAAUUUAUUUAUUGAACCACAUUGAUUUCUUCUCCAAUAUCAAUAUGACGUGAGAGAAAAUAAAAGUAAAACCCUACUAUAAUUUUCUAGCAAAUGUGGUGCCGGCAAGGAAAUAACAAAUUUGCCGAAUCAAGAUCGGACGACCGUGUCUACCCGUCAAUACCGGGAAAUCCCAAUCCAACGGUUCAUAUACGUUACGAUAUCCACCGUUGGAUCAUCAACUGACGGCCCAUAUCAAACCAUUGUGGGCUCCACCAAACCUUUUCCCUAGACAUAUAAAUAACAAUUAUAGGUAAAACCAUGUCCACUCUGAAGAAUUCUUGAACAAAAUUCUCUCUCACGCAGUGGUUUUGUGUGUGUGUUCUUGUUCCAAAAAAUUGUUUUUGCUUAUCUUGCUCACUUAUCCGACGCAUUAUCGCCGGAGAUGAAACCGGCGUCGGAGUAUAUGAUAAGAAAAUCAAGGUACAGGAGAGUUAAUCGUCUAGCUAAAAAGAUCAACAGCUAGGAUUUUAUCAGCGGAUCUCACUGUCAAGAAUGGACGGUCAAAAGCUUACUAGGAACCACUCAUCACUUCUCCGGUUAUCCACCACCGUCAGAUCAUCCAUCCACAGCUUAUCUUCUAUGAACGAGAUCGCACCUGAUGAAGAAAUAUAUAACCUUGAAGAACGGAAACUUCACUGCAAGCCCGUUUCACCUCUGGUUCGGUCCGGUUCAGUGCGUCUAACUCCAAUACUUGCCAUAUUGUUCCUCUAUGUAUGCACCCUUUUCGCCUUCUUCAACACGGACGACAUAGCCACCUCGGAAAAUCUGCUUUUAGGGCUUAUUUUAGUUGCGGUUUUACUUUUCUUCGCGUCGAAAAAUAAGUCAAGAAUCCAACAAAGUUUCAGUUUUUGUAAGGAACUGUGUUAUGAGUAUGGAAAAAAAGUUGGGUUCCUCUGUUUGAC
Molecule: long non-coding RNA, 4478 nt
Filed under: Olea europaea (common olive)
Lineage: Eukaryota; Viridiplantae; Streptophyta; Magnoliopsida; Lamiales; Oleaceae
Description: long non-coding RNA (OEUR_LNC011112)
Source: RNAcentral